AAGGGGACACAUUUUUCAAUAGCCACAGCAGGAGACAAAUGUCAUAAUUCUUGUAAGUAAGUUGUCUCGUGAGGUCAUUCUAAGUUCCACGUGCCCUAAAAUCAUGUACUUACUGAAAAGCCUGACAAAACUGUUACGAAACUGUGCAACUGUCAGAAGAAAAGUUAUUCCACCUUAGAAUGUGCUCUUGUAUUUAAGACGCUUUUCAAGAAAUAAGUAUACAAACUGCACACUGACAAAUUCAGCUAAUCAAAGACUCCACAGUGGAGCACCAGAGAAGGCAGGACGCUUUGUCAAGUCUUGAACGUGUUAACAUGCGGUUUAUUAUCUGUUACAGAAAAUCUUUCUUGAGGUUAAGAAAAUCCAUCAGCUAUUCUACAUUUGUUAACAAGAAAUAAAAUUUUCAAAAAUUAUCGUUAAAAGGGUGUGUCUACAGGGAAAGACUGGUGCUCAAAUUGUGAAGCACAUGCCCUGAGGCUCACAGAUUUAUUAUAGCGAUCAGGCAGGCGACAGUACUUGAGAAAAGUACUGCAUGUGUAGUGAGGUGGACAACAUUUGGGACCUCUCCUUGUCGAGGAGUCGUGACAGCAAAAUCACUUCCUGAGGAAGGAGGAGCAAAAGGGAAGAGGCCAUCCUGACCAGGAAGUGACUCGCCCUAAACUAACCCCAAUUAUAUCUACAAAUGGGGGGAUGGGGGUUAGCCCCAACUGCUAAAGGCGGUAAAAUAACUGCUUUUUGAUAUGUCGCAACAUAACCACCACCCCCUCUCAAAAUUGCAGGAAAAAAGUCCACAGUCACGAUCUAAUAAAGGAAACGUCUGUUCCCUCGCAGGGAGGCCCCUGGGCUGUGCCUCAGGCCUGAGAGAAAAGGAGAGUCGAGGAACGAGGAACUGGGGCCACCGUGAGGCAGAGGAAAGCCCCGUAAGAGGGAAGCGUCCCGACUGCGGAGAGCGUAUGUCAGCAUGGACAAAGAAGCUUCUUUUUCUUGGGGACACUGCGAGGCUCCCAACGCAGCCGGGCCGAGCCCCAGUUCCCUGUCGGGGGAGGAGGUAGGAGAGAGAGGCGGACCCCUUACCUUCUCCUCAUCCGACACACGAUCAUCGAAGUCGGCCAUCUUGGGCUGUUCUGGCCCAGCCCGGCUGUGGGCGCUAGGCAGGCCGGGAAGAAAGCCGAGUGAUGGAAUCACCGCGGGGGCCGUCGGAAGGACCCGCCCGGAAACGCCGACCAAGAGGGCGCCAUGUCAGUUAUGCGCGGGAGUGACGUCUCCUAGUGCCAGCGCCCGCGCCCGCGCCCGCGCCCGCGCCCCAGGAAUGACUGUAUUUUUAAAUUCAUUGACACCCAAAUUCUAUGUGGCACUUACAGGGACAUCUUCAUUGAUAUCAGGACUAAUAUUUGUAUUUGAAUGGUGGUACUUCCAUAAGCAUGGCACAUCUUUUAUUGAGCAAGUAUCUGUAAGCCAUUUGCAACCACUGAUGGGAGGAACAGAGAGCAGCAUUUCAGAACCAGGGUCUCCUUCGAGGAACAGAGAAAGUGAAACCAGCAGACAGAAUUUGUCAGAAUGUAAGGUAUGGAGAAACCCUCUAAAUCUUUUCAGAGGAGCAGAAUAUAGGAGAUACACUUGGGUGACUGGUAAAGAGCCACUUACAUACUAUGACAUGAACCUGUCAGCUCAGGACCAUCAGACCUUUUUCACCUGUGACACAGAUUUUUUACGUCCUUCAGACACAGUUAUGCAGAAGGCCUGGAGGGAAAGAAAUCCUCCAGCUCGAAUCAAAGCAGCCUAUCAAGCUUUAGAAUUGAACAAUGACUGUGCCACUGCAUACGUUCUACUGGCUGAGGAAGAAGCAACAACUAUUGUAGAUGCUGAAAAGUUAUUUAAACAGGCACUCAAGGCAGGAGAAACAAUUUAUAGGCAGUCACAGCAGUGCCAGCACCAAAGUCCUCAGCAUGAAGCUCAACUGAGGAGAGAUACCAAUGUACUGGUAUAUAUUAAAAGAAGAUUGGCAAUGUGUGCAAGAAAGUUAGGAAGAAUAAGAGAAGCAGUAAAAAUAAUGAGAGAUUUGAUGAAAGAAUUUCCUCCUCUUACCAUGUUGAACAUCCAUGAAAAUCUCUUAGAAUCACUUUUAGAAUUACAGGCCUAUGCAGAUGUUCAGGCAGUCCUAGCAAAAUAUGAUGAUAUAAGCCUUCCAAAGUCAGCAGCAAUCUGUUACACAGCAGCACUGUUGAAGACAAGGACUGUUUCAGAAAAAUUCUCUCCAGAAACAGCCUCCAGAAGAGGAUUAAGCACAGCAGAAAUUAAUGCCGUGGAAGCAAUUCAUAGAGCUGUGGAAUUUAAUCCUCAUGUUCCAAAACCUUUCAUCAUGUUUCUGUUUACCCAAAGAAGGAGCUUCCUUUGUUCAUCCAUUUCACAGCAGGAUUUUGCUCUUCUACAGCAAUGAUAGCCAUUCUCACACACCAGUUUCCUGAAAUCAUGGGUAUUUUUGCUAAAGCUGUGCUGGGACUCUGGCGCCCCCAACCCUGGGCAUCCUCAGGCUUUGAGGAGAAUACACAAGAUUUGAAGUCAGAAGAUCUAGGUUUGAGUUCUGGCUGAGCCAUGCACAGUUCAUUUGACCUUGGACCAAUCACCAAAUUCUUCUGAACAGCAUCUGUAAAGUGACAGUAACCCCUACCUCACAGGGUUGUUGUGAGGAUUACGUAUAUGCUAAAGCAUUCUGUAUAUGAAAAAGCUUCUUAUGAACAUUAUUGUUAUUCCUGGGGAAACCCCACCUUGGAAGCUGUCAAAAAGGACAACUGUAGAUGAAGUUGUCUUCCUUUUUUCUUCAUUCAGCGUAGCCUUUCUGUUUGGCCAGGGCUGCUUACAGGAGCUGUUAGCUGAAGUAAAGUCACCACAUUUUGGCUCCUUUGGUCAAAGAGAAAGAACUCUAAUGUCCAGCUGCUCCAUCCAUAUACCCAUAGAAUGGAAGUGAGUAAAGGAAAAUUUUAAGCCAGGAUAGUUAACAGUUAGGGGGCCAAUGGGAGAAUGCUUGCCUUGCAUUUGCAAAUCCAGAAUGACUAAAACAUCUUAAGUAAAUGAGAAAUAGCCACAAAGAUGCUCAGAGAUAAUAUAAGCCAUGAGUGGGAAGUGGGAAAAUGAGUUUGUAAACUCCUCUCUUUUCUAUCCCUUUACCUUUGAGGUCAGGGACAGGCAUACAGCCCACUGGCUAUUGCCCUAUACCUACCAAUCACCCAAAGAAAAUAAUAGCUUCUGAGAAAGCUCAAUUCACUGUAGCAACUGUGAUAUAUUUACCCUAAUAAAGCCACCACUUGGUCUUUUCCAGUGCUUCUCUCUUACGGAGGUCAUCCCUGGAAUCCAAAGCUAUCCAGUUUUCUAACCCAGUUAAGAGUUUAAAACCACCACAGGUCAUAAGCAGUAGGCUUGGCAGUUAUACCUUAUGCAGUCAUAGGAGACUGUCCCAUCAUUCUCAGCACAUAGGGUGCACAUCUCACUGUCUCCAGCAUGAACCAGCCUUGUGAAUGUGUACAGUCUCAGCCACUCUGCUUUGGUGAUAAUUCUUCACCACUGAUCUCUCCUCGCCAUGCCCUUUCUGCAUCCUUCCCCCAACCACCCACCAGCGGAGUUCUGGUCCCCAAACCAAAGAGUUGCCUGCAGGUUGGUAAUGUAACUUUGUAGAUAUUCCUUGAUUACAGCUAGACCCUAUUGGUAUCCUUUUUGAAUUACUGGAUCGAAAUCUAAUUGCUUUUUUUUUUUAAAUUGUUGGGGAGAGGAGGAUGAACAGAACUCCUAUGCAGCCUGAGAGAAGUUCUGUAUGUGUCUAUAUAUGUACACGUGUGUGUGUGUGUGUGUGUGUGUGUGUAACCUCAUGGUUGUGCUCAGGCUGACAGGGAGGGCAAAGAGUGAAAAGGAACCAUCUCUUUCUUGUUUUCCAACAUUGCUUCAAAGAUGCCCAACCCCCGUAGUAGCAGGCGGUUCCCAAGUGGAGGGUCGGGGCAGAGGCCUCCACCAAGGCCAUCAAUAACCAGGUGUGAGCUACAGGUCUCUGUGUAAUGUGAAGCUUUCCCGUAUUUCAUUUCUGCACCCAGGGGGCGGCUCUGCAGGAUUGCUUACGGAGAGCUCUGUGUCUGGCACCUCUCUCCGCAAGGCCCAGGCGCCCAGGGUCCCACCGACCUGCCCAGGAAUGCAUCACAUUGUUCUCUGGUGCUGUAAUUUGGCUGCAGGAGCUAGGCUGAAUGCCUACCAGGGAUGAGAAACAUACUCUCCCUGGCGUCCUCCCUUCACCCCAGCUAGCUUGAGCUUCUGCCCUAUGACCACUGAGUGCAUUUAAAUAAAAACCUCAGAAAGACUGAGGAAAAAAAAUCCUAAUUAUCUCUCUUCUAUUAAGCCAUGUAGAGACUCGUGUCCUGAGUGGGUCUGAGAAUUUGGCAAAGACUUAGUGGUUGGUGUUCUUGAUAAGGGAAGUGAGAGAAAGGAGAAGAAAUUACUCCCUGCAACAGGGAGGAAUAGAAAUGAAGCAGUGAGUGUUCAGAAGUUAGAUCUACAAGAAGUUUUGCAGACAGACCCUCAGGGCCAGGCAAUGUUUGUUUUUGUUUUUGUUUUUUAAUCUGAAGCCCUUGAUUUUAUUUUUACAGCAUCACUCUAAGGAAGAGUGUGGAUUACUGCCAUUAUUCAGGGCUGGUAAUAAUAAAAGUUAGCUUUUAUCUGCAGGGCUAGGUUAAGGCUGGCAUUCUUACUUUUACAUAAAAAAACUGGCUACAGGCUGUGCAGCUGAGGUACUUCAGUCAUGUGCCUUCUCUAAAGGAUUCUUAGAUCCUUAAAAUAUAUAGUAUCUUUUAAGUUUGUAUCUAAAUAGCACUUACUGUAAUGUAUUAUACCUAAACGUUUAUUAAAAGUUAGAAGAAAUGAGUACCAACAGGAAGGAAUGGAAGAGAGGAGACGGGCUAAGACAUUGCUGAUCUGAGGGACAGACCUCUAUCAAAUAGAGGGCUGGGAGAAGUGGUGAUUAGAAGCAGAGUGAGGGAACUAAAUGGAGCCCUGACUGUACCAAAUAAAGUUCUCAUUUUGCUGCUUGUUCCAAAUAAA
Non-coding RNA from Chlorocebus sabaeus (green monkey), 5076 nucleotides. Lineage: Eukaryota; Metazoa; Chordata; Mammalia; Primates; Cercopithecidae. The record is from RefSeq and is a predicted model, not a curated record.